AAAACCAUCUGACCACGUACAGUACUGGGGAUUAGGAAAACCCUUGCUGCGUUGUAGACCCUCUUAUCCCCUUUCAAAAUAAAACAUUUAGGGCCACGUCAUUAUUUAGCGAGUGCUAGGCCCUUCUUGAGCAUUUACACUCAUUCCUAGGUGCUUCAGAGAACUGUACAAUAUGGCCGUUUUAUGGUGUCUGUUGGUUCCGAUUUUUCUCUGCUUCAUCACCAACAUUGACGCAAUCUUUGAUGACGAGCCACACAGCAACCGAUCGGAAGUGUUUUACAUCAGCGAUAAUGGAAGGUUUGGAAAGGUUACAAAACAGGUAGAAGGGGUAAGUGAAAAUAUUGUGUUAAUUCAUUUCACAUUCGCAAUUUUCAUUAUGGAGGAAUCUUAGACUUUCAGUCAGGUGUCUGUCAUAGCCAAUCUGAACCCCGGUACUCAGUUAUGGCAAUGCCUUCUGCGCCGAACGCGAAUAGUACAAGUAUUCUGAUUGGCAAAUACCGAAGUCCCAACUUAUCAUAAAGUGGCAAAUGGCGAUCAAAAGAGAAAAUACCCUUUUUCAACAUUGGCCUCGUUCCAUUGAAUUACCACUUGAAAGUUCUCCAGUUGACUGUUUUCUGGUGUUUGUAAUGGCGUUUCUGAUCUUUUUCUACUGAUUGUUUGUUUAUAUUUACGCUCGUUAACAAAAUAGCACCUUCUGCGUUGAACUACAUGUAGCUGUAUAAGUAUAUCAUACCACGUAGAACCAUAAUAUAAGAAACAAUGACCGUUAUAAUACAUCGAGUCUGUGUCCAAAAUGUAAAUAUGGUGGUGUUUAUGUAUCCCGUGAUAAGUUCAUUUAGGAAAAAAAUUUAUUCUUUUUUUCACAGAUAGAACACUUGGACUGCACAUUCUCUUGGUUGGCUAAUCAUCAGUACAAAAACGAAUUUGACACGAGCGAGACUUGGAUCAUGCGAAUGACUUAUACACACGACUUUCAACAUCUCCACUGCGAGGUGGAGACCUUCGGCGAUAAAGUCACAUCCAAGAUACCCAUAUUCUACUUCAGAUUCCACAUUACCGGAUUGGCUAUCAAAAAGGUGGUCGGCAGGCGCUCCAACCAAGGCCGCAGCGGCGAACCACUCACAGACAAGGAGUAUACAAUUAACGAGGAACUUAAUACAGUUAUGAAUACGAAAAGGGGAUUCUUUGGCAGACUUUCUUAUCUUGCUGUCACCGCAGAGGCUGAUGAGGGAUAUGAACAUGAUGAGUUGUAAAUUUUUACGACGGGAGUUGACUUUUUUACAAAUCGAUAUAAUAAUGUUGAGGUCCAAUGACAUAAUGGUUCGUCAGGUUCAAAGACAGAUAACACCAAUGAUGCAGAGGGAGAAAAAGCGGCUCUACUGCUUGCUGUUUUGGGAACCUUUCCCUAUGGAUCUAUACCUUCUUGCAAUUCUGUGAAGAUAUAAAAGACAGAGAUUCUGCUCGUCAGACGCAUUAUGGGUCAUAUCAAGUAUAAAUCCAUAAUUGGUCAUAUGGAUGAUCAUAACAUAACUAUGA
Lineus longissimus is the source of this 1536-nucleotide long non-coding RNA. RefSeq lists it as uncharacterized. The transcript has 3 exons. The record is from RefSeq and is a predicted model, not a curated record. Lineage: Eukaryota; Metazoa; Nemertea; Pilidiophora; Heteronemertea; Lineidae.